UCAAGAACGUUAUGCUUUACA
This 21-nucleotide non-coding RNA is filed under the name Caenorhabditis elegans. The record is from RNAcentral. Lineage: Eukaryota; Metazoa; Nematoda; Chromadorea; Rhabditida; Rhabditidae.